Mycena polygramma is the source of this 93-nucleotide non-coding RNA. The record is from the annotation of a GenBank genome assembly. NCBI's taxonomy places the organism in Eukaryota, Fungi, Basidiomycota, Agaricomycetes, Agaricales, Mycenaceae.
GCCCUCGUAGAUCAGUGGCAGAUCCUCCACAUUCAUUAUGGAACAUCUCCAAGAGUUAUGUGGACGAUGCGGGUUCGAUUCCCGCCGAGGGCG